RNAcentral lists this ribosomal RNA (447 nucleotides) under uncultured bacterium. RNAcentral's name for it is "partial 16S ribosomal RNA". It matches the Rfam family "Bacterial small subunit ribosomal RNA", at positions 29 to 523 of the family's 1533-position model. The record is from RNAcentral.
AACGAACGCUGGCGGCAGGCCUAAUACAUGCAAGUCGAACGCCCCGCAAGGGGAGUGGCGCACGGGUGAGUAACGCGUGGGGAUGUGCCCUUGGGUACGGAACAACAUCGGGAAACUGGUGCUAAUACCGUAUAAUGACUCCGGUCCAAAGAUUUAUCGCCCAAGGAUCAACCCGCGUUGGAUUAGCUAGUUGGUGAGGUAAUGGCUCACCAAGGCGACGAUCCAUAGCUGGUCUUAGAGGAUGAUCAGCCACACUGGAACUGAGACACGGUCCCGACUCCUACGGGAGGCAGCAAUAAGGAAUAUUGGACAAUGGGGGAAACCCUGAUCCAGCCAUGCCGCGUGAAUGAAGAAGGCCUUAGGGUUGUAAAGUUCUUUUAGAUGUGAAGAUAAUGACGGUAGCAUCAGAAAAAGCUCCGGCUAACUCCGUGCCAGCCGCCGCCGUAA